RNAcentral lists this transfer RNA (69 nucleotides) under Rattus norvegicus (Norway rat). It matches the Rfam family "tRNA". From Rfam's summary of the family: Transfer RNA (tRNA) molecules are approximately 80 nucleotides in length. The record is from Rfam by way of RNAcentral. Lineage: Eukaryota; Metazoa; Chordata; Mammalia; Rodentia; Muridae.
UGGGAUAUAGCUCAGUUGGUAGAGUGUCUGACAUUCAGGAGGGCCUGAGUUCAAUCCCCAAUACCACAA